This 379-nucleotide unclassified non-coding RNA is filed under the name uncultured Actinomycetes bacterium. Its description in RNAcentral is "uncultured actinobacterium contains 16S-23S intergenic spacer region". Lineage: Bacteria; Bacillati; Actinomycetota; Actinomycetes. The record is from RNAcentral.
UCCGAGUUGACCCCGGCAGUCUCCCAUGAGUCCCCACCAUUACGUGCUGGCAACAUGCAACGGGGGUUGCGCUCGUUGCGGGACUUAACCCAACAUCUCACGACACGAGCUGACGACAGCCAUGCACCACCUGUGACAGUGUCCCGAAGGAAAGGUGUGUUUCCACGACAUUCCUGUGCAUGUCAAGCCCUGGUAAGGUUCUUCGCGUCGCAUCGAAUUAAACAACAUGCUCCGCUGCUUGUGCGGGUCCCCGUCAAUUCCUUUGAGUUUUAGCCUUGCGGCCGUACUCCCCAGGCGGGGUGCUUAAUGCGUUAGCUGCGGCACAGACGGCGUGGAAUACCGCCUACACCUAGCACCCACCGUUUACGGCGUGGACUAC